This 206-nucleotide long non-coding RNA is filed under the name Sorghum bicolor (sorghum). RNAcentral's name for it is "long non-coding RNA (SBIC_LNC006566)". The record is from RNAcentral. Lineage: Eukaryota; Viridiplantae; Streptophyta; Magnoliopsida; Poales; Poaceae.
UUAAAGAUUUUCAAAGAUAAAGUUCUCCAGAAUUCUAGCAUCUCUAGGACACAGAUAAACAGCAGCUCAACCUUCCCAUAUCGUAUCUGUUACUUAGACUUUAGAUCAAGUACUCUUCCCACAAGUUCAGGUUUAGAGCAAAUCUUAAUUAAUAACAGUCGUGCCUAAACUUGAGAGAGAUUUCAAUUUUGAGAACUAGUCAUGGC